AGAGUUUGAUCAUGGCUCAGAUUGAACGCUGGCGGCAUGGCUAAAACAUGCAAGUCGAACGUGCCCGCAAGGGAAAGUGGCGGAAGGGUGAGUAAUGCGAUCCUACGUGCCCCGAGGUGGAGGAUAGCGGUGGGAAACUGCCGGUAAUACUCCAUGUGCUCGAGAGAGCAAAGGCUUGCCGCCUUGGGAGCGGGGAUCGUCCUAUCAGGUAGUUGGUGGGGUAAUGGCCCACCAAGCCGAAGACGGGUAGCCGGUAUGAGAGUACGGCCGGCCACAUCGGGACUGAGACACUGCCCGGACUCCUACGGGAGGCUGCAGUAACGAAUAUUCCGCAAUGGGCGAAAGCCUGACGGAGCAAUGCCGCGUGUGGGAUGAAGCGGCUUCGCCGUGUAAACCACUGUCAGAGAGUAGAAACACUGAUCGCUCUCAGAGGAAGGGGCGGCUAACCCUGUGCCAGCCGCCGCGGUAAUUC
Molecule: ribosomal RNA, 472 nt
Filed under: uncultured bacterium
Lineage: Bacteria
Description: bacterial SSU rRNA
Rfam family: Bacterial small subunit ribosomal RNA
Source: RNAcentral